RNAcentral lists this long non-coding RNA (1046 nucleotides) under Salvator merianae (Argentine black and white tegu). Its description in RNAcentral is "lncRNA (ENSSMRG00000013289.1)". The record is from RNAcentral. Lineage: Eukaryota; Metazoa; Chordata; Lepidosauria; Squamata; Teiidae.
GAAAUUUAUAAGAUCUCCUCCACUGAGAGGGUCCAGCAGAUGGAAAAGGAAUUGGCUAUACAGCUGGAUGAACUAAAGACAGAAAUAGAGGAAAGUGGGGUUCUGCAGACAGGGAUACCGUACCGCUCUGUUCCCUUUCCAAAGGACCUUGAUUAUUUCAGAAGAGAAAGAGAGCUGGUGCUGAAGAAAUGCUUACAGGUAGCAGAAACAAAGUCUCUUGUAAUUCAGGCUGAUGUCCUGCAGAGGGAGCUAGAGAUCUGUCUUAAAAGAGAAUAUACAUCUGAAAGUCUGCCUUUGCUUUUGCACCAGUUUUUUACAGACAGAAUCACACAGUUGGUCCAAAGUAAAUACUUACACAUGCUGAGAUGGAAGAGAUUUUGUCAGCACAGCAGUACAGCUGAACAGCUCUAUCCUUUCUACAAGAAACAAGUGGCUCACAUUAUGCAGGAAUACAAUGAUGCUGUUCAGAGGGCUACAAGACUAUCAAGUGCACGGGAGAACUUCCUGACAGGAAAAGAAAAUCCCCCCACUUUAGUCACCCAGGAAGACCUGAUUAUUUAUACCCAAUGGCUAAUAUGCCACCUGCACUCAGUUAAGGCCAUUCACAACUACCUCCGGGUGCUCCAGUAUUUGCCCAUCUCUCAUAGGAUGGAGGUGGCAACUGACAGAUAUCCAGUCUGGGGUGAAAAGGAUAAAUUCAGAACACUAAAAAAACCUGAAUUUGUAUCUGCUGGUGUUGAAUUUUCUAUCUGUUCUAGCACAUUGGCUACAGAUGGAUCCUUAUCAAGUGAUGCUCCUGGAGCACUUCCCCAACACAGUGCAGAAAUUAAAGAACUGAAGCCUCAGCUUAGACUUUUGCUUUCUCAGUUUGGUAUCACUUAUGAUGUGGAAGACCUGAGGCAUUCUGGUAAUGAGAUGGAACUUUUCUCUAAGGUUGCCCAUGAGUUUCGGAACAUUUUCAAUAAACAGCAAACAAUGAGAACAUUUCCUACUUAUGAUGCUGGAAAGCCUGGAUCAGAAACCUGGAAUAUACUGGAAUCCAAGAC